GCUUGGCUGGCUCAUUUGGUAGAGCAUGUGACUCUUGAUCUCAGGGUGGUGAGUUCGAGCCCCACCUUGGGUA
This 73-nucleotide transfer RNA is filed under the name Canis lupus familiaris (dog). It matches the Rfam family "tRNA". Rfam says of the family: Transfer RNA (tRNA) molecules are approximately 80 nucleotides in length. Their secondary structure includes four short double-helical elements and three loops (D, anti-codon, and T loops). Lineage: Eukaryota; Metazoa; Chordata; Mammalia; Carnivora; Canidae. RNAcentral also lists the same sequence under 1 other name. The record is from Rfam by way of RNAcentral.